Molecule: ribosomal RNA, 253 nt
Filed under: uncultured bacterium
Lineage: Bacteria
Description: partial 16S ribosomal RNA
Rfam family: Bacterial small subunit ribosomal RNA
Source: RNAcentral
UACGUAGGGUCCAAGCGUUAAUCGGAAUUACUGGGCGUAAAGCGUGCGCAGGCGGUUUUGUAAGCCAGAUGUGAAAUCCCCGGGCUUAACCUGGGAACUGCAUUUGGGACUGCAAGGCUUGAGUACAGCAGAGGGGGGUAGAAUUCCUGGUGUAGCAGUGAAAUGCGUAGAUAUCAGGAGGAAUACCGAUGGCGAAGGCAGCCCCCUGGGUUGAUACUGACGCUCAUGCACGAAAGCGUGGGGAGCAAACAGG